AGGAGUGGAGCCUGCGGCUUAAUUUGACUCAACACGGGAAACCUCACCAGGCCCGGACACCGGAAGGAUUGACAGAUUGAGAGCUCUUUCUUGAUUCGGUGGGUGGUGGUGCAUGGCCGUUCUUAGUUGGUGGAGCGAUUUGUCUGGUUAAUUCCGAUAACGAACGAGACUCUAGCCUGCUAACUAGGCGUAACUUUCCGGUAUCUUGAAGGCCGGCGUCUCUCGUAUCCGUUCGUGCGUGGCCAUCGUUUCGGCGGUGUGUUGCGUAUGUGGCGGUCGGGAGUUCGUGGUUUUUACUACCGGCGUACAAUUGUAUCUUCUUAGAGGGACAGGCGGCUCCUAGCCGCACGAGAUUGAGCAAUAACAGGUCUGUGAUGCCCUUAGAUGUUCUGGGCCG
RNAcentral lists this ribosomal RNA (397 nucleotides) under Cychrus caraboides. Its description in RNAcentral is "SSU rRNA". It matches the Rfam family "Eukaryotic small subunit ribosomal RNA", at positions 1172 to 1489 of the family's 1831-position model. Lineage: Eukaryota; Metazoa; Arthropoda; Insecta; Coleoptera; Carabidae. The record is from RNAcentral.